Molecule: ribosomal RNA, 371 nt
Filed under: uncultured organism
Description: partial 16S ribosomal RNA
Rfam family: Bacterial small subunit ribosomal RNA
Source: RNAcentral
GUAGGUGGCAAGCGUUGUCCGGAAUUAUUGGGCGUAAAGCGCGCGCAGGCGGUUCUUUAAGUCUGAUGUGAAAGCCCACGGCUCAACCGUGGAGGGUCAUUGGAAACUGGAGAACUUGAGUACAGAAGAGGAAAGCGGAAUUCCACGUGUAGCGGUGAAAUGCGUAGAGAUGUGGAGGACACCAGUGGCGAAGGCGGCUUUCUGGUCUGUAACUGACGCUGAGGCGCGAAAGCGUGGGGAGCAAACAGGAUUAGAUACCCUGGUAGUCCACGCCGUAAACGAUGAGUGCUAAGUGUUAGGGGGUUUCCGCCCCCCUUAGUGCUGCAGCUAACGCAUUAAGCACUCCGCCUGGGAGUACGGCCGCAAGGCUG